RNAcentral lists this ribosomal RNA (617 nucleotides) under uncultured archaeon. Its description in RNAcentral is "bacterial SSU rRNA". It matches the Rfam family "Archaeal small subunit ribosomal RNA", at positions 53 to 677 of the family's 1478-position model. The record is from RNAcentral.
GCGAGUCAUUGUAGCAAUACAAGGCGGACGGCUCAGUAACACGUAGUCAACCUCACUCGUGGACGUGGAUAACCUCGGGAAACUGAGAAUAAACCACGAUAGAUCAUAGUGCCUGGAAUGGCUUAUGGUCCAAACAGUUUACUGCCAUGGGAUGGGACUGCGGCCUAUCAGCUUGUUGGUGAGGUAAUGGCCCACCAAGGCGAUUACAGGUACGGGCUCUGAGAGGAGAAGCCCGGAGAUGGGUACUGAGACACGGACCCAGGCCCUAUGGGGCGCAGCAGGCGAGAAACCUUAGCAAUGUGCGAAAGCACGACUGGGUCAGUCCGAGUGAUUCCUGAUAAAGGAGUCUUUUGCUUGUCCUAAAAGCACAGGUGAAUAAGGGGUGGGCAAGUCUGGUGUCAGCCGCCGCGGUAAUACCAGCACCUCGAGUGGUCAGGACGUUUAUUGGGCCUAAAGCAUCCGUAGCCGGCUCUGCAAGUCUUCGGUUAAAUCCACCUGCUCAACAAAUGGGCUGCUGGAGAUACUACAGAGCUAGGGAGUGGGAGAGGCAGACGGUAUUCAGUGGGUAGGGGUAAAAUCCUCUGAUCCAUUGAGGACCACCAGUGGCGAAGGCGGUC